UCAAAAAAAAAAAGAAAUGGACCUAGUCGUACUACAACUUUUCCUAUCUUUGCGAACAACUAUAGAAACCUCCGCCUUGCUACGGCACCGGAUUAGGCGGUGUCGGAGGCGUCUCCCCUAGCCUCUAGUCCUCGUCUUUGUUUGCUCUCUGCUUCUGUUUCCUCUCCUCCGUCCGAGAUGCAGGGGGCUCUGGUUUCUUCCGACUUCACUUCUCCGGCGAUCUGCUCAUGAGGUUUCGUUCGGUUGUGGAGUUUGUCAGUAUUUGGAGUCCCGGCGAGGCGUGUAAGGUUGGUCAGUUCAGGGAGUCGGUUUUUAGGGUUUGAGGAUUGUCAGAUAUCGUUUUCUGUUUGGAGAUCUCCGGUGUUCCUCUCCGUUAGGCGGCGCGUGAAUCUGUUGAGGAUGUUCCUCUCACCGGCCUCGGUGUGUUAUGGCUCUAUCCGUCGUUUGAAGGGCUGGUGUAGGAGGUUGGUGGCGCGUGAGAAGUUCUGUCUCUUGGUGUCUUGCGACGGAUUCUCAUCCCGCCGUCGCAGGGUUUUAGUUCUUGGGCGGUAUCGUUUGGCGGGCGUGUAGCAGCAGCGAUAAAUCGUGGUAUAGGAGGUAGAGUUAACCGCGUAGCGGGCUAUGGGCAGCAGCAGCGGCAAUUUCCGAUCUUUGGCUUCUACAAAAGUUUAAAAUCUGCUAAUUAUCUUCUCAUUCGCUCUUGGGUUGCUUAGCCUUAUCUAGUAUUAGUGUCGGUUUUGGUCUUGUGGUACUGUAAGCUAUCUUGGUGUGGGUUUAAGUAGUCGCCCUUAUGUGGGGUUGUGUGGAAGGAGAUUGUUCAUUCAUCUCCGAGUUUAUGUUUUGAGUCACCCCCGUGUUGGUUCUUGUAGCCAUCUUCAUGCGGGCUCUUGUAUGUUUCUUUUAAAUGAAAUAAAUUACUUUUUUCGGGAAAAAAAAA
Molecule: long non-coding RNA, 937 nt
Organism: Brassica oleracea var. oleracea
Lineage: Eukaryota; Viridiplantae; Streptophyta; Magnoliopsida; Brassicales; Brassicaceae
Exons: 2
Source: RefSeq, a predicted model, not a curated record